GCAGGCCGCCAAUAAAGAUGUCGCAAACCUCCCUGGGCAAAUCUCUCUCCGUCUCCAGCUCGGCACCUCGUCUAGAGCGGCGCGCCCGAGGCGGCCGGGGGCCGACCCGGACCACGCAGGACGGCCGGUGGUCGCUGGAGGAGCAGCCACUCAUGCACGUCGUCGGGCCUCUCCACGGGUUCCGACCUAGAGCGUCUUGUUCCUGUACUCCAUGAACCCGUACCUUACCCUUAGUGUUAACAAGACCACCUUUACUUCUUACAGGACAAUAAACCGACGAUGGUAGCUACAAGAAAGUCUAACUUGUAACGGUACUAGCAAAGAGAUGCGUUGCUUAUAUAAUCUAGUUCGUAGUACAGUACCUGUGGUAUUCUGAAAAGACGCAACUAUCACUACAGAUGCCCAACCUAACACGAAGACAAAUAGUCGAGUGACUUCAUUGAGAGGAUCGAGUUUACCCAAUUAGAAGACCUAUAUACGAAUGCAUAUUAUUUACUACACUUCUAUCUAGUAUCCUGUUUUGGUAUUAGAAAUCAGAAUUCGUUCAAUCCCAUUUGAUCUCUUCAUCUCUAUCUUGUGUUGUCUUCGGUGUGUGUGUUUACUGUACCUUUCGUCGUUUCUUUAUCAUUUUCUUCGAGAACUGAACAUCUAAUACAGUUUCACUAUUAGAUCUCAGUUCGAAGAAAAUGAUAAUCAAAGCUAGAUGGAACAGUAGAUAUCCUAAUCAAUAAUAUAGAUUCAUACAAAAGUCUUCUAAUCUUCUAAUUCGUUCCAGUGAACUAUCCAUUUGACUAUCGGCUUACAAAACAAAUAGUACCUUUUGGUCUCUAAUCGGAUAAAUUCGAGCCACUAUCUCAAUGAGUUACUCUAGUAUUUAUCUUCGUACUAAGUUGGUUAUCUGUAGUUAAACUACUUACUUACUUUUUAGAAUAACACAAUACUAUACUACUAACUAGGUUAUACAAAAACGGUUCACUUCUUUUUGUGAUUGUAACGUGACUCACUUUCGCUAGAUAUGUUUCCGUUCUAAACUUAUAAUAGGUGGGCUUUCUCUUACAGUCUAUACUGGUGGUAGUCUUCUUCGUUGUUACGGUGUUCACUCGAGAGAACAUAUAGGUGCACGAUAACAGCUAAGUCACAGCGCAUACAACUCGCAAAUACAAGAUGUACACAAUCUAAAUCUUAUCACACCACUCGUGAAGGUAAGAACGGUUAACUCUACCACUCCGAGUCCUUGUGACGUAAACGGUACCACAAAACUAAACAGAAGACGUCGUUGUACUUUGAGAGUAACAUUAACAUGGGUGAAUACGGACUUAUGACGAUAAUGAAGUCAAUCUGAGUUCUUCGUGGUUCAAAGACGUCGCGAGGACGUAAAACGAUUACUACUUGAAGGAAGAGGUAAAGAAAGAAAACAUUCCUUCUCAAUACAUGAUUACUACAUACUGACCGACCAAUUAAUAGACAGUUAAGUUGUUGGUCAAACAUACGACCGGUCACGUUAA
This 1505-nucleotide ribosomal RNA is filed under the name Triticum aestivum (bread wheat). RNAcentral describes it as "partial small subunit ribosomal RNA". The record is from RNAcentral. Lineage: Eukaryota; Viridiplantae; Streptophyta; Magnoliopsida; Poales; Poaceae.